Long non-coding RNA from Lemur catta (Ring-tailed lemur), 552 nucleotides. RefSeq lists it as uncharacterized. The transcript is spliced from 3 exons. The record is from RefSeq and is a predicted model, not a curated record. Lineage: Eukaryota; Metazoa; Chordata; Mammalia; Primates; Lemuridae.
ACUACUCAGCCAUAAAAAAGAAUGAAAUAAUGUCUUUUGCAGCAACUUCGAUGGAACUAGAAGCCAUUAUCCAAACUGAAAACUCAGAAACAGUAAACCAAAUAACACAUGUUCUUUCUUAUAAGUGGGAGUCAUCAACUCAGAAGACGAUUUCUAUGACCAAAUUUGGUGGAGGGUUUCUUCCCACCAGCAAGUGACCAAUCACUUCUGCUGCGGACAAGAAGUGGGUGUCUGCCAAUUCAAUUCCAACACUGUCUGUGUGGAGAUAGUGUCAGAUCAAUCCCACAGGUUGGGGACUCAGUUACCGAACUGUCCCCCCUUCAAAUACCAGUUGCAAGUCUGGGCCUCUGGAACUUCUGACCAACCGAGUGAAAUUCCACAACUACCUAUACAAAGAAGUACCUUUAGAAGAACCAGAGAUCAGGUGUGAGUGAUCACUGUGCCUACCAUAACAUUAUAUCAAGGGAAGAGGCAUUGAAGAGGACAGAGUGUUGCGUUGCCUACAAGAAAUGCUAAAAGGAGUUCUUCAAUAUGAAAGAAAAGGAUGUUAAA